GUGCACCAGGCGCGAAACCUCCGCAAUACACGAAAGUGUGACGGGGCCAUCCCGAGUGCCGUCCGCUGAGGACGGCUUUUCCCCAGUGUACACAGCUGGGGGAAUAAGGAGAGGGCAAGCCUGGUGUCAGCCGCCGCGGUAAUACCAGCUCUCCGAGUGGUGGGGACGCUUAUUGGGCCUAAAGCAUCCGUAGCCGGCUGGGCAAGUCCUCCGUUAAAAUCCAACGAUUCAAUCGUUGGGCUGCGGGGGAUACUGUCCAGCUUGGGGGCGGGAGAGGCCGACGGUAUUCCCGGGGUAGGGGUGGAAACCCUAUAAUCCCGGGAGGACCACCAGUGGCGAAGGCUGUCGGCUAGAACGCGCCCGACGGUGAGGGAUGAAAGCUGGGGGAGCGAACCGGAUUAGAUACCCGUGUAGU
RNAcentral lists this ribosomal RNA (415 nucleotides) under uncultured microorganism. RNAcentral's name for it is "bacterial SSU rRNA". It matches the Rfam family "Archaeal small subunit ribosomal RNA", at positions 330 to 745 of the family's 1478-position model. The record is from RNAcentral.